GAUGAACGCUGGCGGCGUGCCUAAUACAUGCAAGUCGAGCGAACAGACGAGGAGCUUGCUCCUCUGACGUUAGCGGCGGACGGGUGAGUAACACGUGGAUAACCUACCUAUAAGACUGGGAUAACUUCGGGAAACCGGAGCUAAUACCGGAUAACAUGUUGAACCGCAUGGUUCAAUAGUGAAAGACGGUCUUGCUGUCACUUAUAGAUGGAUCCGCGCCGCAUUAGCUAGUUGGUAAGGUAACGGCUUACCAAGGCAACGAUGCGUAGCCGACCUGAGAGGGUGAUAGGCCACACUGGAACUGAGACACGGUCCAGACUCCUACGGGAGGCAGCAGUAGGGAAUCUUCCGCAAUGGGCGAAAGCCUGACGGAGCAACGCCGCGUGAGUGAAGAAGGUCUUCGGAUCGUAAAACUCUGUUAUUAGGGAAGAACAAAUGUGUAAGUAACUAUGCACGUCUUGACGGUACCUAAUCAGAAAGCCACGGCUAACUACGUG
Molecule: ribosomal RNA, 497 nt
Filed under: uncultured bacterium
Lineage: Bacteria
Description: partial 16S ribosomal RNA
Rfam family: Bacterial small subunit ribosomal RNA
Source: RNAcentral